CCUACGGGAGGCAGCAGUGGGGGAUAUUGCACAAUGGGGGGAACCCUGAUGCAGCGACGCCGCGUGGGUGAAGGAGUGCUUCGGCAUGUAAAGCCCUAUCGGCAGGGAAGAAGCAAGACGGUACCUGACUAAGAAGCCCCGGCUAACUACGUGCCAGCAGCCGCGGUAAUACGUAGGGGGCGAGCGUUAUCCGGAUUCACUGGGUGGAAAGGGAGCGUAGACGGCCAUGCAAGCCAGGGGUGAAAGCCCGGGGCCCAACCCCGGGACUGCCCUUGGAACUGCAUGGCUGGAGUGCGGGAGGGGCAGGCGGAAUUCCUGGUGUAGCGGUGAAAUGCGUAGAUAUCAGGAGGAACACCGGCGGCGAAGGCGGCCUGCUGGACCGCGACUGACGUUGAGGCUCGAAAGCGUGAGGAGCGAACAGGAUUAGAUACCCCUGUAGUC
RNAcentral lists this ribosomal RNA (441 nucleotides) under uncultured bacterium. RNAcentral describes it as "partial 16S ribosomal RNA". It matches the Rfam family "Bacterial small subunit ribosomal RNA", at positions 338 to 795 of the family's 1533-position model. The record is from RNAcentral.